GCCCACUCACCUGGAUGAGGAUCUUGCCAAGGCAGACGAAGGGCGUGCUGACCUCUGCCAUCAACAUGCAGCCCAGAAAGAAGUCUCCCUUCCCCUGUCGCCACACCUGAGCAGAGAAGCAGGAAGCCAGGCGUGGUGGCGGACACCUGUAAUCCCAGCUACUCAGGAGGCUGAGGCAUGAGAAUUGCUUGAACUUGGGAGGCGGAGACUGCAGUGAGCCGAGAUUGCAUCACUGCACUCCAGGUUGAGCAACAGGUCCUGCAGAAAGACUGUGUUCCUGACAUCAUGGGUGAGGAAAUUGAGGCUCAGAGACAUGCAACCAUGCAUCCAAAGCACCACAGCUGGGCAUCGUCCAGCCCGGGGCCAGGCUGCCCCCACACUCUGGUGCCUCUUGCAACUGAGCUGGGCUGUGAACCCUACUGGUCCACAGCUUUCCCUGGGAACGCGCUGGGUCUGCUUAUCUGCUGGUAUGCAAACCCAGGGCUUCCCAGACUCCUGAGCACCAGCAGGACCAAAGAGCAGGCCGCCUGCACCCCACCUGCCCAGCUCUCCAGAACUCACCACCGACAGCGGGAAGCACACCAGCACCAUGGCGGCGUGGUGGAGCACCAUGAGGAACUCCUUG
This is a non-coding RNA of Callithrix jacchus (white-tufted-ear marmoset), 625 nucleotides long. The record is from RefSeq and is a predicted model, not a curated record. NCBI's taxonomy places the organism in Eukaryota, Metazoa, Chordata, Mammalia, Primates, Cebidae.